UUUAUUGGAGAGUUUGAUCCUGGCUCAGGAUGAACGCUGGCGGCGUGCCUAAUACAUGCAAGUCGAGCGAAUUGAUUAAGAGCUUGCUCUUAUGAAGUUAGCGGCGGACGGGUGAGUAACACGUGGGUAACCUGCCCAUAAGACUGGGAUAA
Molecule: ribosomal RNA, 152 nt
Filed under: Bacillus thuringiensis serovar londrina
Lineage: Bacteria; Bacillati; Bacillota; Bacilli; Caryophanales; Bacillaceae
Description: partial 16S ribosomal RNA
Rfam family: Bacterial small subunit ribosomal RNA
Source: RNAcentral